CCUACGGGAGGCAGCAGUGGGGGAUAUUGCACAAUGGGGGAAACCCUGAUGCAGCGACGCCGCGUGGGUGAAGAAGUAUUUCGGUACAUAAAGCUCUGUCAGCAGGGAAGAAAAUGACGGUACCUGACUAAGAAGCCCCGGCUAACUACGUGCCAGCAGCCGCGGUAAUACGUAGGGGGCAAGCGUUAUCCGGAUUUACUGGGUGUAAAGGGAGCGUAGACGGCGGCGCAAGACUGGAGUGAAAUGCCGGGGCCCAACCCCGGGACUGCUCUGGAAACUGGGAAGCUGGAGUGCAGGAGAGGCAAGCGGAAUUCCUGGUGUAGCGGUGAAAUGCGUAGAUAUCAGGAGGAACACCGGUGGCGAAGGCGGCUUACUGGACUGCAACUGACGUUGAGGCCCGAAGGCGUGGGGAGCAAACAGGAUUAGAUACCCUAGUAGUC
RNAcentral lists this ribosomal RNA (440 nucleotides) under uncultured bacterium. RNAcentral describes it as "partial 16S ribosomal RNA". It matches the Rfam family "Bacterial small subunit ribosomal RNA", at positions 338 to 795 of the family's 1533-position model. The record is from RNAcentral.